This 159-nucleotide long non-coding RNA is filed under the name Mus spicilegus (steppe mouse). RNAcentral's name for it is "lncRNA (ENSMSIG00000021955.1)". Lineage: Eukaryota; Metazoa; Chordata; Mammalia; Rodentia; Muridae. The record is from RNAcentral.
AUCCAUGCUUCCUCUUCGCAUCGUGAGAAGAUCAUUACAGAAGCAUAUCACCACACUUAGCUAGUGGUCACUUAUACAAAUACUUGUGAAGAAAGAAGUCACAGUCUCCAGUGAAGUAUCACCUAGUAUUGAUUGAUUAAAUGUAGUACCAGAUAAAAU